RNAcentral lists this ribosomal RNA (450 nucleotides) under uncultured bacterium. RNAcentral's name for it is "partial 16S ribosomal RNA". It matches the Rfam family "Bacterial small subunit ribosomal RNA", at positions 354 to 796 of the family's 1533-position model. The record is from RNAcentral.
GUGGGGAAUAUUGCACAAUGGGGGAAACCCUGAUGCAGCCAUGCCGCGUGUGUGAAGAAGGCCUUCGGGUUGUAAAGCACUUUCAGCGAGGAGGAAAGGUUGGUAGCUAAUAACUGCCAGCUGUGACGUUACUCGCAGAAGAAGCACCGGCUAACUCCGUGCCAGCAGCCGCGGUAAUACGGAGGGUGCAAGCGUUAAUCGGAAUUACUGGGCGUAAAGCGCACGCAGGCGGUUGGAUAAGUUAGAUGUGAAAGCCCCGGGCUCAACCUGGGAAUUGCAUUUAAAACUGUCCGGCUAGAGUCUUGUAGAGGGGGGUAGAAUUCCAGGUGUAGCGGUGAAAUGCGUAGAGAUCUGGAGGAAUACCGGUGGCGAAGGCGGCCCCCUGGACAAAGACUGACGCUCAGGUGCGAAAGCGUGGGGAGCAAACAGGAUUAGAUACCCGAGUAGUCC